Molecule: ribosomal RNA, 410 nt
Filed under: uncultured microorganism
Description: bacterial SSU rRNA
Rfam family: Bacterial small subunit ribosomal RNA
Source: RNAcentral
CAGCCGCCGCGGUAAUACGUAGGUGGCAAGCGUUGUCCGGAAUUAUUGGGCGUAAAGCGCGCGCAGGCGGUUCCUUAAGUCUGAUGUGAAAUCUCGCGGCUCAACCGCGAGCGGCCAUUGGAAACUGGGGAACUUGAGUGCAGGAGAGGGGAGCGGAAUUCCACGUGUAGCGGUGAAAUGCGUAGAGAUGUGGAGGAACACCAGUGGCGAAGGCGGCUCUCUGGCCUGUAACUGACGCUGAGGCGCGAAAGCGUGGGGAGCGAACAGGAUUAGAUACCCUGGUAGUCCACGCCGUAAACGAUGAGUGCUAAGUGUUAGAGGGUAUACACCCUUUAGUGCUGCAGCAAACGCAUUAAGCACUCCGCCUGGGGAGUACGGCCGCAAGGCUGAAACUUAAAGGAAUUGGCGGG